UUUUUUUUUUUUUUUUGAACUUGAGAUUUUCCUGCCUUAGCCUCCCAAGCUGCUGGGAUUGCAGGUGUGUGCCACUGUGCCCAGCCUGAAUUCUUAAUGGUUGCCCAACUCUCAGGCAAGUGCAGCCUGUGUGUUUUCAAACUUUACCCAAAAAUGCUCUGUUUUUUCUGUGGCACAUGCUUGUGAUGCUGAAACCUAACUCCUCAAAAUAGAACUUAAGAAGGAAACUAAUGAUUCAUUAAAGUAAAUUGAUGGUGUUGGUAAUAAUGCUUAUCCCAUA
RNAcentral lists this long non-coding RNA (280 nucleotides) under Marmota monax (woodchuck). The record is from RNAcentral. Lineage: Eukaryota; Metazoa; Chordata; Mammalia; Rodentia; Sciuridae.